Molecule: ribosomal RNA, 253 nt
Filed under: uncultured bacterium
Lineage: Bacteria
Description: partial 16S ribosomal RNA
Rfam family: Bacterial small subunit ribosomal RNA
Source: RNAcentral
UACGAAGGGGGCUAGUGUUGCUCGGAAUCACUGGGCGUAAAGCGCACGUAGGCGGCUUUCUAAGUCAGGGGUGAAAUCCUGGAGCUCAACUCCAGAACUGCCUUUGAUACUGGAAAGCUUGAGUUCGGGAGAGGUGAGUGGAACUGCGAGUGUAGAGGUGAAAUUCGUAGAUAUUCGCAAGAACACCAGUGGCGAAGGCGGCUCACUGGCCCGAUACUGACGCUGAGGUGCGAAAGCGUGGGGAGCAAACAGG